GACGAACGCUGGAGGCGUGCUUAACACAUGCAAGUCGAACGAUGAAAUGGAGCUUGCUCCAUGGAUUAGUGGCGAACGGGUGAGUAACACGUGAAUAACCUGCCCUUAAUUUUGGAAUAACCCAGGGAAACCUGGGCUAAUACCGGAUAAGUAAACCUGUGGCAUCACAUGGUUUUGGAAAGUUUUUCGAUUAAGGAUGGAUUCGCGGCCUAUCAGCUUGUUGGUGAGGUAAUGGCUCACCAAGGCGACGACGGGUAGCCGGCCUGAGAGGGUGAACGGCCACACUGGGACCGAGACACGGCCCAGGCUCCUACGGGAGGCAGCAGUGGGGAAUAUUGCGCAAUGGACGAAAGUCUGACGCAGCGACGCCUCGUGAGGGACGAAGGUCUUCGGAUUGUAAACCUCUUUCAGCAGGGACGAAGCGAAAGUGACGGUACCUGCAGAAGAAGCACCGGCUAACUAUGUGCCAGCCGCCGCUGUAA
Molecule: ribosomal RNA, 482 nt
Filed under: uncultured bacterium
Lineage: Bacteria
Description: partial 16S ribosomal RNA
Rfam family: Bacterial small subunit ribosomal RNA
Source: RNAcentral